Molecule: ribosomal RNA, 460 nt
Filed under: uncultured bacterium
Lineage: Bacteria
Description: partial 16S ribosomal RNA
Rfam family: Bacterial small subunit ribosomal RNA
Source: RNAcentral
CCUACGGGUGGCAGCAGUGAGGAAUAUUGGUCAAUGGACGGAAGUCUGAACCAGCCAUGCCGCGUGCAGGAAGACGGCUCUAUGAGUUGUAAACUGCUUUUGUACAAGGGUAAACCUGAAUACGUGUAUUCAGCUGAAAGUACUGUACGAAUAAGGAUCGGCUAACUCCGUGCCAGCAGCCGCGGUAAUACGGAGGAUCCAAGCGUUAUCCGGAUUUAUUGGGUUUAAAGGGUGCGUAGGCGGAUUGAUAAGUUAGAGGUGAAAUGUCCGAGCUUAACUCGGGAACUGCCUCUAAUACUGUUGAUCUAGAGAGUAGAUGCGGUAGGCGGAAUGUAUGGUGUAGCGGUGAAAUGCUUAGAGAUCAUACAGAACACCGAUUGCGAAGGCGUCUUACUGGACCGAAACUGACGUUGAGGCUCGAAAGCGUGGGGAGCAAACAGGAUUAGAUACCCGGGUAGUC